Molecule: long non-coding RNA, 457 nt
Organism: Symphalangus syndactylus (siamang)
Lineage: Eukaryota; Metazoa; Chordata; Mammalia; Primates; Hylobatidae
Source: RefSeq, a predicted model, not a curated record
CAUCGGAGUUUUAACAAGGCCUCCAGAAGAUUCUGACACUCACCAGAGUCUGAGAGACUCUGGAAUCUGGGCUCCAGUUUUCACCCAGGAGACAGGAGGAGUCUAGGUGGAAGGGCAGGAGGAACUGGGGUCCCCCCCGGAAGGAGCACCCCAGGAUGAUGCCCCAUAAGAGAGUCUUCAGAGACUGGAAAUGCUUGCCAGGAAGGAAGAACCACUUUCUGUCCUCCAUCAUCAGGAGCACAGAAGAGUGAAGCUGGGCCCACAUAGAGAAGCAUCUCAUGCUGUCUGCAGUGGCUGCAGUGCUCUCCUGGGGCAGGAGAUGAUCAAAGGGGAAGAAACUGGUUUUCAGAGAGGCCAAAUCAUUCACCCAAGGACACAGAGCAUGCAAGUGGCAGAGCCAUUUCCAAUAUUCCCGCUGCCUCUUGACCUCCCUAGAAGACCCGCUUGAAGCUCUCAA